RNA transcript from Malaclemys terrapin pileata, 9269 nucleotides. It is a transcript of the gene named Sp4 transcription factor, with no coding region annotated. The record is from RefSeq and is a predicted model, not a curated record. The transcript has 6 exons. NCBI's taxonomy places the organism in Eukaryota, Metazoa, Chordata, Testudines, Emydidae.
AUGCUUUAUAUUUUUGCAGAUCAAAAGAAGGAGGAAGCUAUGCCCACAGAGGGAGAGAAAUCUCCUGAGGCAGAGAACAACAAUAAUAAAAAAAAUAAAACUGGAGGCUCACAGGAUUCUCAACCUUCACCCCUGGCUUUGCUGGCAGCCACUUGCAGCAAAAUAGGAACUCCUGGUGAGAAUCAAUCAACUGGACAACAGCAGAUUAUUAUAGAUCCAAGCCAGGGUUUGGUGCAGCUUCAAAAUCAACCACAACAGUUAGAAUUAGUUACAACUCAGCUUGCUGGAAAUGCGUGGCAGCUUGUUGCUGCUGCUCCUCCUGCUUCAAAAGAAAAUAAUGUUGCUCAACAAGGAUCUUCUAUUGCUUCAAGCACAGCAAGUCCCUCCAGCAGCAACAAUGGGAAUACAUCUCCUUCAAAAACUAAAUCAGGUAAUUCUGCUACUAACCCUGGACAGUUUCAAGUAGUACAAGUACAGAAUCCAAGUGGUAGUGUCCAAUACCAAGUGAUCCCACAGAUUCAGACAACGGAAAGUCAGCAAAUUCAAAUCAAUCCUGCCAGUGCUACAGCUCUACAAGAUUUACAGGGUCAAAUUCAGCUCAUCCCUGCAGGGAAUAAUCAAGCUAUCCUCGCAACUGCAAAUAGGACCACUUCGGGGAAUAUUAUUGCUCAGAACCUGGGAAAUCAGACAGUUCCAGUGCAAAUUAGGCCUGGUGUUUCAAUACCACUGCAGCUGCAGACUAUUCCAGGUACUCAGGCUCAGGUUGUAACAACCUUACCUAUAAACAUUGGAGGAGUAACUCUAGCAUUGCCUGUGAUAAACAACGUGGCAGCAGGAGGCGGUUCUGGACAGGUUGGCCAGACUACUGAUAGUGGAGUUUCCAAUGGGAAUCAGGUAGUAACCACGCCUGUCACCACUGCUUCUGUUAGUACUAUGCCAGAAUCCCCUUCCUCUUCUUCCAUUUGUACAACCACUGCCUCAACAUCUCUGACUAGCAGUGACACUUUAGUAAGCUCGGCAGAGGCAGGCCAGUAUGCAAGCACAGCAGGCAGCAGUUCAGAGCAUACUCCUGAAGAAUCUCAAACAACUGCCACAGAAUCAGAAGCCCAGAGCUCCAAUCAGCUUCAGCCUAAUGGACUACAAAACGUGCAGGAUCAGUCAAGUUCACUUCAACAGGUGCAAAUUGUAGGUCAGCCUAUUCUACAGCAAAUACAGAUCCAACAGCCGCAACAGCAGAUUAUUCAAGCCAUUUCUCCACAGUCAUUUCAGCUCCAGUCAGGGCAAACUAUUCAGACCAUCCAACAACAGCCUUUGCAAAAUGUUCAGCUGCAAGCAGUGAGUCCAACUCAGGUACUCAUCAGGGCUCCAACUUUAACACCAUCCGGGCAGAUCAGCUGGCAAACUGUGCAGGUUCAGAAUCUUCAAAGCCUUUCAAAUUUGCAAGUUCAGAACGCUGGGUUACCCCAGCAACUAACCAUCACCCCAGUGUCUUCAAGUGGGGGCGCAACUAUUGCCCAGAUUGCGCCAAUGGCUGUUGCUGGUACCCCAAUCACACUGAAUGCUGCCCAGCUUGCUUCAGUGCCUAACCUCCAAACAGUAAGUGUUGCCAGCCUCAGUGCAGCGGGUGUUCAAGUUCAAGGAGUUCCAGUUACCAUUACCAGUGUUGCAGGUCAACAGCAAGGACAGGAUGGAGGCAUGAAAGUACAGCAAGCCACAAUAGCUCCUGUAACUGUAGCCGUAGGAGGUAUUGCUAAUGCAGCAAUUGGUGCUGUUAGUCCUGAUCAGAUCACACAAGUGCAGUUACAACAGGCCCAGCAAGCUUCUGAUCAGGAAAUACAACCUGGCAAGAGGCUAAGAAGAGUUGCCUGCUCGUGUCCUAAUUGUAGAGAAGGAGAAGGAAGAGGCAGCAGUGAGCCAGGAAAAAAGAAGCAGCAUAUCUGCCAUAUCGAAGGAUGUGGAAAAGUUUAUGGGAAAACAUCUCAUCUCCGGGCACACCUUCGUUGGCAUACUGGAGAAAGACCAUUUGUAUGCAACUGGAUGUUUUGUGGCAAAAGAUUUACACGGAGUGAUGAGCUGCAAAGACAUAGAAGAACCCACACAGGUGAAAAAAGAUUUGAGUGCCCCGAAUGUUCUAAGAGGUUUAUGCGGAGUGACCAUCUCUCCAAACAUGUCAAAACUCAUCAGAACAAGAAAGGUGGUGGAACAGCCCUUGCUAUUGUUACUUCAGGAGAACUGGACUCUUCAGUUACUGAGGUUCUUGGCUCUCCAAGAAUUGUCACAGUUGCAGCCAUUUCUCAAGAUUCAAACCCAGCAACCCCUAAUGUUUCAACAAACAUGGAAGAAUUCUGAAAGGAUCAUUUAUAUGGACACCUAGUGCUGCACUUAAGUUUACAUACCUUUCAUGAUAUGGAAGUGGGCUGGUAAAGUGGAUUACAGAGCAGAAAAUCAUGUUUUCAAUCUUGACUUCUGUAAGUAUUCCAAGUUGGAGGGUCAGCAUGAGAAGUGUACACUGGUGCAACAAGACAAAUUUUCAAAAAUACAAACAGCGCAAAUUGACAUACUGGAUAAACAGUUGGGGGAAUACUGCUUCCAUACUGUACUUUUUUAGUUAUGUGGCUCUAUAUUAUAUAAUUGUUUUAAAUGAAAAUUUCCCCUCUCUUUUAACAUUUGUGUGUUGUUGUGUUUGUAAAAUCAGACAAUAUCAAUAUGACAGGGUGGAUCUUGAUUAGGAGUGUUGUCAUUUGGAGAUACUUUGUUUAUAAUCUGAAUCUGUAAUAUUUUCAAGGGAACUUCUUUUCCCAUAAGGCACAACAAAAAUGCAUAAGAAUUGAGUGGUAAUUAUUUCUUUGCUCAGUUCUGUGGAAUCUGUACAUUGAUUUUGGCCGUCUUUUCUCAAGUUUAGAAAUUAUUCAAAUAGCAGUUGAAUUUACAUGCUGCAAAGCAGAUCUGAGGUGCAGCUCAGAUAAUUUUGACCACUACAUUAUAGUAGUGUGUAUAAAUGACAAUCACUGAACUCAGAUUUCUCUCUUUCUUUGGAGAGUUAAGAGAUAUUUAGAUUUAAUGUAUACAUUAGAAAAAAUUAAACUACAGAAAUAUAUUAACAUAAGAUUUUACAGAAUUAAUAUCUUUAUGUAGGAUAAUAAUAAAAUAUGGCAACUUGUGUGUUUAAAUUUUGAUAUUCCAGUUCAUUACAUUUUAAGACAUCAGGAAUCCAUUUGUUAACUUGAGUCACAAAACUCAUACUUUUUGAAUAUUUAAAUUUUAUGGGAAUACUUGGACAUUAAUUACACAACUGAAUUGUUUAAUGAGUGUUGUAACUCAUUCUCCAGUUCUCUCCUGUAUAUAUAAAUUAUUAUAUUAUGGUGAAGGUGAAGAAUUCUUUAUACUUUGACUAAACAGCCAAAGAAAAGGACAAAUUAUGACAUUUUAACAUCAAAAAAGGUAAUUGUAAAUUAAUGUAUUUUUUCUUUCUCUUCCUCUAAAGAUUAAUCAUCUUAUUUUCUUUCCAAUUGUAAGUGCAUAAGCUGGUAAGGAAUAUCCGCCACCCAUUUUCUUAUAUGAUCAAUAAUUUUGAGCCUCCAGCCACAAGAGAAACUUGUGCAAAAAAGGAAUAUAGGUAUCUUUUUAUCAUAUAGCAACUAAUUUAAAAGGUUUGAUUAUAUUUCCAAUAUCUAUUAACUUAAUAGAACAUAAUUGUUGGAGAAAUAAAACAACUGAGCAUUUUUUUAUGUAAAAACUCCAGUGCAUACAUGGAGGAAAGAUGGCCAAAUAUUUCACACUCAGGAUUUUGAAUUAUUUCCCAUAGUCGUAAAUGGAAUGUUUUACAAAUUUAGCCAUUUGGUAUCCCAUGACAGUCCAUUUUUUUAAAUGUAUACAUCAAAAUAUUUUUGUGAUAUAAAAGGGAGUACAGUGCAAGAAGGAUUAUUCUUUUUCCUGCAGGUUAAAGAUGAACAGUUUAUUUGGGAAAUGUUUGUAUGAGACACAUAACAGAUACCGUGUGCAUUCUCUCAGAAAACAUACUUCUCAUAUGAAUGCUUUAUCAAUCUUGUGAUGUUUCAUGUAUUUUUGAAGAAAGAAAUACCAAUCAUUGUUUACACUGUGUACACUUUAGGCCAGCCCUUUGUAGCGAAAUAUAAAGCUGAAGGUCUUUUAUACUUUCAGUUUACAUUAAAAGCUUUGAGAUUAAAGGAAAAACAAUUUUACACUGUGGUUAUAGAUUUCAAGUUUCUUAAAGCUUUUGUAGACUUGUAACGAAGUCUUUAAAUUUUAGUUGGGUUUUGUACAUUCUUUUGUAUAUUUUAUUUAAAGAACUCUCAGCUGAUGUAUCUGGAUUUAAAACAUCAGAAUCAAUUAGAUUACUACAUUUAAUACAAAUGAACAUUAGGUAGUGCUAAUUGUUAAUUUUGUUAUAUAAGAACUGGAACAUCAAAUAUAUAUUUUAUCAUUAUGCUUCACAAUCAGUGCUAUAAAUUUCUUUAUGCAAAGAAAAACUUUCCUAAUGUUAUGAUCAUGUUUCUUAGAAGUUAACAGUUUUUAUAAACUGAAGGUAUGAGCAUUCUGCACAGCCAUUUCAUAUUUUUUUCAUGCAUACUUAUGUAUGCAGAUAAGAAACUGAAGUCAUUUUUAAUCUACAAUGAGUCCAUAUUACAAAUGUAUCAAAAUCUAAAUCCGGUUGACUUCAUAGUAUCUAAAGUACAUUCACUUACGUUAGCAGGUGCACAUUUUACCGCUGGAAUUAGAAACAUUUUGACAGUCUGUUCUGCAUACCAUUCUGAGUCCACUUUUCUGUCUUAGAAGGAUCGUAAAUUUCAAUGUCCUUUAUUUGACUCAGUGGGAUAUAGCUGUUGUAAGUAAUAGGGCACAGAUGUGCAGUAGUAUCUUGUUUAAUGGCAUUUCACUGUUCAUUCCCUUUGCCACUGUUAUAAAAUUUUGCUUUAUUGUAAUUAUCAGUGCAAAGUGUAUUUAUCAUGGUAGAACUCCAGUGUUAGAAUAGUUUUUUUCUUACAAUAUACAUUCUUUGGUUAGUUUUGUGUAUGUGUUGCCGAUUACAUUAGAAAUUGGUGUUAAGUCAUUAUUUAUCACACUCUUUCACGAGAGCAGUAAUAAAAGUGUGUAAUUUAGAAGAAAAAGUUAAUUUGUCAAACUUAGGUAAGCAUGAUGUUUAGGUCCUAUUUUUCAAUUUUAUAACUGUUUUAUUGCAACAAUAUUUGUAUUUAAGUCUUCAUUUUAAUGCCUUGUGGUGUUUUUUAAUGCAUGUCACUGAAUUGUCAUCCCGCAUAAAUUGAUGUGCAGCAUAGGGUAUUAAAUCUACAUAAUGAUUUUGAAACAGAGAAAUAGUUGAUGGUAAAAAUGUAAAUGUUUUGCAAAAAUUCCUUAUAAAAAAGUUUUGUAGUAAUAUUUCACUUGUAAAUUGUUUUCUAAAAAAAUAGAAAAAUUAAAUAAAAAAAAGAGAGAGAGAAAUAAAACCAGAUUUCCCACAUUCUAGAAGUUAGAACUGAAUUCUGCCAGCAAAGCCUCUAAGGCAUUAAUUUGACAUUUUUAUAUUGCUGAUUUUUUUUUUUUUUUGGUAGAUUUAGAACUCAAAUUAUGUACAAGUUGUUGCCUGCAAUAACAAUUUUGCAAGUAACCUAUUAAAAUUCCCUUGAGUUAAAAAUGUUUCUUCAUUUAAUUACUUAUAAUAUGAAGCAGUAAUAAAUUAUGUUUGAAUGAUCUGCUCAUCAAGAAGACCAGUGGAAGGCAAAUGCUUCUCAAUGGAGAAGCAUUGGCAGCAGCCUCGGGAUUCAUGUAAUUAAGACCUAUACUUGCUGGUCUGCGUUCCCCAACUGGCAGACUCCCAGCAGGGAAUUAAAAAAGCAGAUUCCAGCUCAGUGUGAAUUUUGUUCAGCUCUUGGAAUGGAAGUUAUAGUUAUGCCUGAACACAUUCAUUUUUAUUAAAGAACAUUACAAGAGGUGACUGAAGGAAACAUUUAACUAAGAUGAGAAAUAGAAGAAACUAAGAAAAAAAUGUGAGAAUUGCAAUUUUUUAAAAGGAGACAACAGAUGAUAAAACCAAAAUGUCUCAAUUGUGUUUCAGAUUAGAAAUGAAAUAAAACAAAUCCAUCGGAAGGAUGAAGGUGCUCACUUGAAUACUCCAAAAAUUAUGCUGGAUUUUACUUUGUUUCAGUGAUCUAGAUGGAUUUGUGCCGCUGGAAAACAAAGUGAUAUUCUGUGGCUAUGUGACAGUGAUGGACUGAAACACUAUCAUUGGCAGAUAACUCUGAAACUAUAGAAAAUGAUGGUGAUCUUGAAGGUGGAUAGUCUUCAGAAUCCUGUAUGUUGAGGAUGGAUUCUCCUAAACAAAACAAGUCAAUGCAGUUAUUUAAUUAUUAUUAUCAUACUGCUCAUUUAGUAUUUCUCGAUGCAUUCACUGACACUCAGUACUACUUUAAAGGUGAAAUUGUAAAAGGAAGAUCUGCCUAUUUCAGCUAUUUAUUUUUUUAUCACAACUGCAUCUAAAAUGAUAGUACCAUAGAAUAACAACUAUAUUUUUUGCUCAAACAUGAGAAUUCAAGAAUAGUCCAGAAGGGAAGGCAGACAGUCCUUAAGAAAGAAGUAUGAAAUAAAAAAGUUUACCAACCUGAAGAUCCUGCAUGUUCAGACAUGUUCCUUUCAUCAGCUUCAACACAGCUUCCUCCUGAGAAGGAACACUUCUCAUGAUGAUGUUUCAUUCGGGCAACCAGGCCUUGCAUUUCUUUGUUGCACUGUUUGCAUUUUGCAUGCAUGCAUAUCUUACCCACAGGUAAAGGAACUUCAUUAAAAUAUUCCCAAACUGGGUCUCUUUUAUGGCCUGCUGCCAUUAUAGAUUUUCCCUUCUAGUGAGAGAAUGGUAUGGUAGAUCUCAAAUCAAUGAAAGGUACACUCAGAAAGACCUCAAGACUUCUGGAAUAUGCUGCUCAGUUUCACUUUUGUUUCUACUGCCUGUCCCUCCCUUCUCACAUUUAUCUCCAGACUUCUUCUCCUUGUCCAGAUCUAGUCCGACUCCAACAAUCUUCUAUUCAUUGAACUUUUUGAAACUUUGCACUUUUAGAGAGAGGUAAGGGAUUGACUCUGUGUUCACAAUUUGCAGAGGGACAAUAGGGUUGAGAUCUGUUAUUUCUCACCUCUAUUAUUUAUUUAUUUAAAAACAUUUUUGCUGUUAACAAGCAUGUUAUCUGUGGAGACACAAAUCCACAGUUUGAGAACUGCAAAACUAAGCAUCUCUGAUGGUAUCUUCUAGACUGAGAACUGAGUCCAAUUGGGUAGAUAGAAAGAUUAACCUAAAUAAUCUAUACAGAAGCCCCUGGAACCGCAUAAGAUUGGGUCUCUAAUCCAUGAACUAUUGGAACUCAUUUAGAAAACUUAUCUUAAACUUUACAUGAAUAUGUCUCAUACUAUAGAAUUAGAAUUUAUAAUCCCUAUUCCAUGAUGAUAUCUUUGAGCUAUAAUGUAUCUUAAUUAAAACUAUCUUUAGAUAGGUUUUUUCCUCAAAAAGCAUUUUAUCAAAAAAAUCUGAUUUAAAAAAAAAAUCAGAUUUUUUAAAUUUAAAUCAUUGAUUUUUAUCCACCUUGGAUGGGAACAGAAUCUAAAUUCCCGAGUCCUAGUCUUGAUUUAAGACAACCAUCCUUCUUCUCCUCUAAUACAGACCUAGAAUCCAUGAGCUUCAUUGUAUCUACAUGUUUGAUGAGAUAUGUUUAAUUUCAAGUUUCAUUAACUUCUAUUUGAGUAGAAUAACUAAUACUACACAAAGCUUUCAACUGUAGCCAAAGUCUAAUAGAUUUUGAAUUAAAAUCUAUAGUUUUAUGUAACCUAUUACUAAGUCUAUAUUACAAAGUAAUUUUAAAAAGACAUUUUACAGGGGCACAGGAUUCUUAUUUUUAGACGUCUACUACUGAAUGUUCUAAAUUUUCUUAAAUUGUUGAGAAGAGAAAAAUCCUUCACUUUGCAUCCAUCACUGUAGUAUAGUAUCAGAAAAUGUAACACAAAACUUAAACCAAUUAGGAGACUAAGGAUAAAUAUUCAAACUUUCAUUCUGUCCCCUUUAUGUAUGUGCCUUAAAAUGUGGCCUUUCUAUCAUCUACUUUUUGUCAAAUGUAAAAUGUAAUUCCAAAUGGAAUUUCUUAUAUAAGCUUAGAUACAAUAAAAUAAAAAUAAUGCAUUGUACAUACAGUAUAUACAUUGAUAUACUUUUGUGAAAUAGAUACUGUGCAGGUAGGCUAGUAACAACAUUUUAUAUCCAGUUAAGUGGCAAAAUACAGUAUUAGAAUUUUUCUGUAAUGACCAUAGAUCAGCUCCAUCCCCCCCCUCCCCUGGCUCCCACACCCCAGCUACUUCGCACCUUUCUAACAAACCUAGGAAUUCCAUUAGAUUAAGGGGAAUCGUCAGGUGGCAUAGUAGGCCCUAUAUCAUUUUGCCCCACCCCCGUUGUCUCAUGAGAGAGGGGUAUGUUAGGAGUUUCCUGAGGAAAAUGAGAUGUGUCUAGAGCAGCGUAUCUCAAAUACGCAUGCAGCCACCAGGGGCUUUUUCUUGUGGCCACAGCCUCCUAGGCAAUAACUGGGGGUUUGGGGGGGGAUGACACAAGCAGUGGCCCCUACCUCAGGGCCACCAGCAAAAGUUGGACCCUGCCCCCCCCCCCAGGCCACAAAUGCUGGAUGAGCAGGCAGCCAGUGAGUUCCCCACCUUUCUGAGAGUGGUGAGGCUCAGACUUCAGCCUUGGUGUGGUGGGCGGCAGGCUCCGGUCAUGGGACUUCAGGCUGCAGGCCUAGACCCCCGCCAUGGGUGCCGGCCCUCAGCUUACCACCCCCCUGCAUUGCCUCUGGCCCCUGCUGCCUCCCCGGCCCCCCACCCAUCCCCUCCAUCGCCACUGGCCCCCACUGUCUCCCUAUCCACCUCCCCAUCCAGGACUCAGUUUGUUCCCUAGCUUGCCAGGGCCGAAUAAAUCUGCUGUGAAAAUGGAUACUUGUAUGUUUGUUAAUAUCACUUUUCACAGCCUCCCAGCUAGCUGGUAAGUCUGCUGUGAAAAGUGAUAUUAACAAACAUACAAUUACUUUUCACAGCAGCAGACUUACCAACUAGCAAGGCAACCAAAAAGUAAUAGAAAUAACAACAACAAAAAAGACAAGAAUGUGCAGAGGACCUUAUUUGUCCUUCUUUUCUGUUUAGGUCCAGUAAAGAAUAGAGACGACUGUACAUUAUUAUUAUUGAGGCUGCAAAAUAAACUCUACAUAAAUAAAUUACAAUGUUUUGGAUGUGUA